Long non-coding RNA from Rhopilema esculentum, 561 nucleotides. RefSeq lists it as uncharacterized. The record is from RefSeq and is a predicted model, not a curated record. NCBI's taxonomy places the organism in Eukaryota, Metazoa, Cnidaria, Scyphozoa, Rhizostomeae, Rhizostomatidae.
CGUGGUAAUAUUCAAAAGAAAGCGGUUAUAGGCAGGAUGAACAGACAGUGGCAUAAAAGUCGCGAUUUUUGAAGAUCCGUCAGACUGUAUGGUUGCAGAGUUAUAGAAUCUUUUGCAAAGAACAAGUCCCUGAACGUGAAAAGAGUUAAAGAUGAAGUGUCUAGUCUUUUUGCUACUGAUUUGUGCAGUUUUUGUAGCGUAUUCAAACGCUCGAAGAUACGACGAAGACGAGGACGAGAAUUCAGAGGAGGACCAAUUCGAGGACAUGCAAGAGGAGGGGUUAGAAAACAGAGAUCAGAUGAAGAAAGACCUUGUCAACCUUGUGGCCCGUCAGCCCGGUGAACGUCGCCGUCGUUGGGGCAAGUAAUUGGACCAUCAACUGUUUGGACACGUCACUGGCAUGGGCGCAGUAGUGGAACUAUUACCUUACAUUAGCGCAGACUUUACAUCUUCUCUUUUUUUUCUCUAUAGCUAUUGCCAAGUAGCCCAGUUAUGGACAUGCUCAUACGUCCUGUGCUUGAUUAAUUUGUAUGCUUGCUUUGUGAAUGAAUUUAUCUUGGA